GCGGGGUUGAUGUAGUGCUAGCAUGACAUCCUUCCAAGUUGUUCGCGUCGGUUGGACCCCGACACUCCGCUCCA
RNAcentral lists this transfer RNA (74 nucleotides) under Acinetobacter sp. Its description in RNAcentral is "tRNA-Gly". It matches the Rfam family "tRNA". Rfam says of the family: Transfer RNA (tRNA) molecules are approximately 80 nucleotides in length. Their secondary structure includes four short double-helical elements and three loops (D, anti-codon, and T loops). Lineage: Bacteria; Pseudomonadati; Pseudomonadota; Gammaproteobacteria; Moraxellales; Moraxellaceae. The record is from RNAcentral.